UACAGAGGUCCCAAGCGUUGUUCGGAUUCACUGGGCGUAAAGGGUGCGUAGGUGGUUAGGUAAGUCCGAUGUGAAAUCUCCAGGCUCAACCUGGAAAUGGCAUUGGAUACUAUUUAGCUUGAGGAGUGGAGGGGGGACUGGAAUUCUCGGUGUAGCAGUGAAAUGCGUAGAUAUCAGGAGGAACACCGGUGGUGUAGACGGCUAUCUGGACCGUAACUGACGCUGAGGCACGAAAGCGUGGGUAGCAAACAGG
Molecule: ribosomal RNA, 253 nt
Filed under: uncultured bacterium
Lineage: Bacteria
Description: partial 16S ribosomal RNA
Rfam family: Bacterial small subunit ribosomal RNA
Source: RNAcentral